This 439-nucleotide ribosomal RNA is filed under the name uncultured bacterium. RNAcentral's name for it is "bacterial SSU rRNA". It matches the Rfam family "Bacterial small subunit ribosomal RNA", at positions 29 to 511 of the family's 1533-position model. The record is from RNAcentral.
AGCGAACGCUGGCGGCAGGCUUAACACAUGCAAGUCGAGCGGGCCCUUCGGGGUCAGCGGCAGACGGGUGAGUAACACGUGGGAACGUACCCUUCGGUUCGGAAUAACUCAGGGAAACUUGAGCUAAUACCGGAUACGCCCUUUGGGGGAAAGGUUUACUGCCGAAGGAUCGGCCCGCGUCUGAUUAGCUAGUUGGUGGGGUAAUGGCCCACCAAGGCGACGAUCAGUAGCUGGUCUGAGAGGAUGGCCAGCCACACUGGGACUGAGACACGGCCCAGACUCCUACGGGAGGCAGCAGUGGGGAAUCUUGCGCAAUGGGCGAAAGCCUGACCCAGCAACGCCGCGUGAAGGAUGAAGUAUUUCGGUAUGUAAACUUUCGAAAGAAUGGGAAGAAUAAAUGACGGUACCAUUUAAUAAGGUCCGGCUAACUACGUGCCAG